UUGACCUCGAAUCAGGUAGGGAUACCCGCUGAACUUAAGCAUAU
RNAcentral lists this ribosomal RNA (44 nucleotides) under Tuber indicum. Its description in RNAcentral is "partial 28S ribosomal RNA". The record is from RNAcentral. Lineage: Eukaryota; Fungi; Ascomycota; Pezizomycetes; Pezizales; Tuberaceae. RNAcentral also lists the same sequence under 4 other names.